RNAcentral lists this transfer RNA (72 nucleotides) under Elusimicrobiota bacterium. RNAcentral describes it as "Elusimicrobia bacterium (groundwater metagenome) tRNA-Thr". It matches the Rfam family "tRNA". From Rfam's summary of the family: Transfer RNA (tRNA) molecules are approximately 80 nucleotides in length. Their secondary structure includes four short double-helical elements and three loops (D, anti-codon, and T loops). Further hydrogen bonds mediate the characteristic L-shaped molecular structure. tRNAs have two regions of fundamental functional importance: the anti-codon, which is responsible for specific mRNA codon recognition, and the 3' end, to which the tRNAs corresponding amino acid is attached (by aminoacyl-tRNA synthetases). tRNAs cope with the degeneracy of the genetic code in two manners: having more than one tRNA (with a specific anti-codon) for a particular amino acid; and 'wobble' base-pairing, i.e. permitting non-standard base-pairing at the 3rd anti-codon position. The record is from RNAcentral. Lineage: Bacteria; Pseudomonadati; Elusimicrobiota.
GCCGGGGUAGCUCAGCGGUAGAGCAGCGGUUUCGUAAACCGUUGGCCGCGGGUUCGAUUCCCGCCUCCGGCU